GACAAGCACAAUAAUGAUUACACUUAUUUCCCUCAAGAGUAAAUGUGUUGACUAUUACUAUUACCACAAUAUUAACAACCACAGAGUAAAGCAUCAGAAAGAGUUUAAGCAAUUUAUCCAGCACAAGAGGGUCUAGAAAAAGAGAAGGCUGCAUUAUCCGAAUUGAAAAAAAAACAUUGAAUGUGCAAUGCUCCAAAAAAAUAUUGCCUAUACCAUUGACACUCAUCAUGAGAAGACCAGAAGAUUACUUAGGAGUUUGCAACAAAAUACUAAUACAUGGAAGUUUACUUUUUAUUUUCUUCUUGGUUUUAUGGUAAGUAAAAGUAUUAACUAAUACAUGUGGUUGUGUUAAGUGAAUCUACUUUCCCUUAAUUAUGGUUUGAGCAUUGGAUGGAUGUUUUCAUCCAUGGAUGGACUGGGCUAAGGUUUUCUAAACAGUGUUAGCAGUAGAAGGUAAACAACAAUAUCAAACACCAUUCCAGUCAUCACAGAAUAGACUGUGUGGGAAGAUAUGUCUGCCCCCACACUGAGUGCCCUCUUCCAAAUACCAGUAGAAGGUAAACAACAAAAUCAAACACCAUUCCGGACGUCACAGAAUAAACUGUGUCGGAAGAUAUGUCUGCCCCCACACUGAGUGCCCUCUUCCAAGUCGUAUCACUACAGCAAAAGAUAGUCUUCCUUGUGGUCGCAGGCAAGCCCAGUAGUCCCACACUUAGCAUACGAUACUUCUAUCCUCCAGCAUCCUAUUGACAUGUCCCUUUAAUACCAAGAACCCUUCCAUGUCCAAGGGAAAACUCUUAUUAUCCAGAUUCUGGACAGACUAUAGAGUCAGAUCAUUUCUUACAUGGAAAUCAAAGAAAGGUAGAGCUAACCUGGGCAAUAAAACCUGUAUAUUACUCAAGAAUGCAGCUUAGCAUGUAUAUUGAACAGAGCAGAUAUAAACAGACAUAGAAAAGAAUAUUUGAAAAUUUACUGGAACUUGUAAUUUAUGAGCAUGAAAUGGAACAGAAUGAGACCCAAAGGAAAAGAACAAAAAAGAAGGUGAGAGAAGAAAAUUUAGUGGUGAGCAGAUAAACUGUAGAAUCAACAAAUUAAACUGAACAGAAACAUGUUUCUUUUAUAAGUUGGGAGCUUACAGUUUUCAACUUGUAAAAAUAAUCAUCAUGAGGGUUUUCAUUUACCUUUUAUCUAACUGCCCAAUGUUAACUACACAGACUCAUAACAUACCACAGUAAAAAGAAAAAGAAGAGGGUCAUUAUUUCAUCAUAAGGUUUGGAUUACUUCCAUCCCACUCAUUAUUCAUUCCAUGUCUUGCUUAUAUACAUGACAAACAUUACCAAAGAGGUACAAAUAAUGGUAUAGGGCGCAAGAACAGAUUCAAACUGUAUUUUUCCAUUUAUGUACAGUAAGUUGUGAUUUGCUCUAACACCUAAGUAUGUGGCCUAGUGGUCAAUACAGUGGAAGGAGAACCAUAAGGUUUCAUGUUUAUACCCAACAGAGGCAAAAAGCACCGUAUGAUAUCUUCUCAUCCUUUAAACCUUGGUGAGUAAAGCUGUCCGGUACCUAUAUAGGUGGCGAUAGCAUGUACCCGAUAGAACACUCAAGGUCAGCGCAAACUAACCCGGACACUAACUUCACAAAAAAAAGGUUGAUCUGCACCAGGUAUGAAAUAUUAUAGUAAAAGCUUUAUUAAGUCAUAUUCAAAAAAAUUUGGUCUGUUAACUGCUCACACUGCCCAGACCUUCUACCAACUCCCGAGUUUUCCUCAGCUUUACAUGGUAAUUCCUUGUUUUGGUUUUAAACAUUAAAAGAAAUACAGCAAGAUAUGGCUCGAUGUUGGUUUUUCUGCAAAACAAAUCUACCCAAAUCACCGUACGCACACUCGUAAGGUAAAUCACAGUUUACAGUGCACAACACCCCCACCAGUGCGUGCAAAAACAUGAAAUCCAUCAGCCCGGUCAACUUCAUGAUUAUGUAUCAUCGAACCACAUGCAUAUUCAAAGGAAUCAUGGAUUAAUAGAACUGCAUCUUUUAUCAGUAUAAAACUGCUUGACUACGAGUGUUUUCAUCAUUGCCGGGAAAAAAACAUAAUCACAAAAACUAUCCUGAGCACGACAAUCACAGCUGUAUGCGAGCAUAUGUGCAUGGAAAUCAACACAGAUGAAAGUAAAGAGAUAAAAAUACAUGUUAAACAAUUAAAACGUCGAUAAUGAGUAUACCUGACCCUUAACCUUCAGAUUGAUAUGAACCGCCUGAUCGUUAGGCUUCUUCUCUUCCUCUCCUGCGCCACAACUACCGCCGCCGCUAGCCGACAUGAUGAUCACGGUUCUACGACUGUUCUUCCGCCGAGGGUUAUCUUUAUACAGUGAGAAUCAAAGCAAAACAACCUCUU
RNAcentral lists this long non-coding RNA (2392 nucleotides) under Nicotiana benthamiana. RNAcentral's name for it is "long non-coding RNA (NBEN_LNC010040)". The record is from RNAcentral. Lineage: Eukaryota; Viridiplantae; Streptophyta; Magnoliopsida; Solanales; Solanaceae.